Molecule: small nucleolar RNA, 139 nt
Organism: Scophthalmus maximus (turbot)
Lineage: Eukaryota; Metazoa; Chordata; Actinopteri; Pleuronectiformes; Scophthalmidae
Gene: SNORA29
Product: small nucleolar RNA, H/ACA box 29
Source: Ensembl
AUCCCCGUUUUAGUCCCUUUCAUUCGCACCACCAUGAAUGGACGGCUAUGCUAACGGGGUAGAAUAAACACUGUCAUGGUCUGAAGGUGUGGCUAGCUGACUGUGCGCUCCACUAAAUAAAAUGACAGCAUAUUUCAAA